GAGGGUAUAGCUCAGUGGUAGAGUGCAUGCUCAGCAUGCACGAGGUCCUGGGUUCAAUUCCCAGUGCCUACA
RNAcentral lists this transfer RNA (72 nucleotides) under Camelus bactrianus (Bactrian camel). It matches the Rfam family "tRNA". Rfam says of the family: Transfer RNA (tRNA) molecules are approximately 80 nucleotides in length. Their secondary structure includes four short double-helical elements and three loops (D, anti-codon, and T loops). Further hydrogen bonds mediate the characteristic L-shaped molecular structure. tRNAs have two regions of fundamental functional importance: the anti-codon, which is responsible for specific mRNA codon recognition, and the 3' end, to which the tRNAs corresponding amino acid is attached (by aminoacyl-tRNA synthetases). tRNAs cope with the degeneracy of the genetic code in two manners: having more than one tRNA (with a specific anti-codon) for a particular amino acid; and 'wobble' base-pairing, i.e. permitting non-standard base-pairing at the 3rd anti-codon position. RNAcentral also lists the same sequence under 2 other names. Lineage: Eukaryota; Metazoa; Chordata; Mammalia; Artiodactyla; Camelidae. The record is from Rfam by way of RNAcentral.